Cyanistes caeruleus (blue tit) is the source of this 560-nucleotide long non-coding RNA. RefSeq lists it as uncharacterized. NCBI's taxonomy places the organism in Eukaryota, Metazoa, Chordata, Aves, Passeriformes, Paridae. The record is from RefSeq and is a predicted model, not a curated record.
UCCCCCCGCACCUCAUCCCCCACCUCCGGCACAAACGAAACAGUGAGAAGCAGCAGAAAAAGAAAACCUGGGAAAAACUGGUUUUGUCCAAAAGGACUCAGUGCUGCCGGGGUGCUGGUGCAGCUCAGCAGGCUUUAUCUCCACAGCGCACCCGUGAAAAAGCAGUGUAUGCACAUUUUCCAGCAAAUGGCAGGUGGCAGCAGUGAAGGGAAAGACCUGUCCAUUCCCUAUUUUUGAAGGGAUCCAGCACGCCUGCCCUGCCAUGAGCUAGGCUUUUUCUAGACAUCAAAGGAGUUCUGAACUGAGUCAUUAUGCUGUGAUCUCAGCCAGUGCCUCAUGACAGGGCAAAGGCUCAGCCAAGCAGGGCUUCCCUGCCAUAUUGUCUUUUCUGAUCCAUGGUCAGCUAUGGAGGCUACCAUACUGAGGAGGGGCUUCUCCGCCUUCUUGUUUUAAUUUGUUCCUGGGAGUCCAUGGGAUUCAGCAACAUUGUAUUUAAUGCUUAUUACUGUAUUGUUGAUUGUUGCUAUUUUGCUUCUAGUAAACUGAUAUUUUUUUACCUA